UCAGAACGAACGCUGGCGGCGCGCCUAAUACAUGCAAGUCGAACGAGAAGGCGUAGCAAUACGCUUGUAAAGUGGCGAACGGGUGAGGAAUACAUGGGUAACCUACCCUCGAGUGGGGGAUAACCAGCCGAAAGGUUGGCUAAUACCGCGUACGCUUCCGGGACUGCGGUUUCGGAAGGAAAGCGAUACCGUGGGUAUCGCGCUCUUGGAUGGGCUCAUGUCCUAUCAGCUUGUUGGUGAGGUAAUGGCUCACCAAGGCUUCGACGGGUAGCUGGUCUGAGAGGACGAUCAGCCACACUGGCACUGCGACACGGGCCAGACUCCUACGGGAGGCAGCAGUAAGGAAUAUUGCGCAAUGGGCGACAGCCUGACGCAGCGACGCCGCGUGGGGGAUGAAGGUCUUCGGAUUGUAAACCCCUUUCGGCAGGGAAGAUGGAAUGGGUAACCAUUCGGACGGUACCUGCAGAAGCAGCCACGGCUAACUUCGUGCCAGCAGCCGCGGUAAUACGAAGGUGGCAAGCGUUGUUCGGAUUUACUGGGCGUACAGGGAGCGUAGGCGGUUGGGUAAGCCCUCCGUGAAAUCUCCGGGCCUAACCCGGAAAGGGCGGAGGGGACUGCUUGGCUAGAGGAUGGGAGAGGAGCGCGGAAUUCCCGGUGUAGCGGUGAAAUGCGUAGAGAUCGGGAGGAAGGCCGGUGGCGAAGGCGGCGCUCUGGAACAUUUCUGACGCUGAGGCUCGAAAGCGUGGGGAGCAAACAGGAUUAGAUACCCUGGUAGUCCACGCCUUAAACGAUGGAUACUAAGUGUCGGCGGGUUACCGCCGGUGCCGCAGCUAACGCAGUAAGUAUCCCGCCUGGGAAGUACGGCCGCAAGGUUGAAACUCAAAG
RNAcentral lists this ribosomal RNA (885 nucleotides) under uncultured bacterium. RNAcentral describes it as "bacterial SSU rRNA". It matches the Rfam family "Bacterial small subunit ribosomal RNA", at positions 24 to 906 of the family's 1533-position model. The record is from RNAcentral.